GAUGAACGCUAGCUACAGGCUUAACACAUGCAAGUCGAGGGGCAGCGCAGUGUAGCAAUACAUGGGCGGCGACCGGCGCACGGGUGCGUAACGCGUAUCCAACCUUCCCGAUACUCAGGGAUAGCCUUCCGAAAGGGAGAUUAAUACCUGAUGGUGUUCAAAUUCCGCAUGUUAUUUGAACUAAAGAUUUAUCGGUAUCGGAUGGGGAUGCGUGACAUUAGAUAGUAGGCGGGGUAACGGCCCACCUAGUCUACGAUGUCUAGGGGUUCUGAGAGGAAGGUCCCCCACACUGGUACUGAGACACGGACCAGACUCCUACGGGAGGCAGCAGUGAGGAAUAUUGGUCAAUGGACGGAAGUCUGAACCAGCCAAGUCGCGUGAAGGAAGACGGUUCUAUGAAUUGUAAACUUCUUUUGUCGGGGAGUAAAGUCAGCUACGUGUAGCUGUUUGCAAGUACCCGAAGAAAAAGCAUCGGCUAACUCCGUG
RNAcentral lists this ribosomal RNA (486 nucleotides) under uncultured bacterium. Its description in RNAcentral is "bacterial SSU rRNA". It matches the Rfam family "Bacterial small subunit ribosomal RNA", at positions 28 to 507 of the family's 1533-position model. The record is from RNAcentral.